Molecule: long non-coding RNA, 1035 nt
Organism: Clupea harengus (Atlantic herring)
Lineage: Eukaryota; Metazoa; Chordata; Actinopteri; Clupeiformes; Clupeidae
Source: Ensembl
GUUUGCAUUCGCUGGGAAUUACUCCUGCGUCGGCCGUGUGUCCUUGUGCGCUAUUUAGCAGGAGGCUACCUAGCCCCGACUGGCUGACUGAGCUGCCUCCUCUUUCGGCAGCGCUGUGUUAUUUGAUCCGCGCUCUUUCUUUGCUGGGAAGAAAAGCUCGACUCUUUCCCACGCUCUUUGAGCACGUGGUACGCCGAUGAAUUGGGCUCCGCAAGGGCCCUCCCCUCUCUCUAUUGAAACGUCACACUCCCCUCCGCAGAAUGCCACGGCUCUGACUCAAAGUGGGGUUGGGGGAGGGUGGAGGGGUGGGAAGGAGGGAGGCGGAGGGGUUGAAGGGGGGGGCGGGGGGUCUCCGCCGGGCCUCGCUCACUCGCUAGCGGCCAAGGCGCCAAAGCCCUCACACAAUCCUCAGACGAGCCUCAGAGGUCCCUCAGCGCUGCGUCUGGGUCUGCACUCUCUCUCUCUCUCUCUCUCUGUCUCUCUCUCUCUUUUUUUUCUUUUCUCUUUCUCGCUCGCUCACUUACACUCGUUUUCUCUCCCAGUUCUCAGUCAUACUCAUUUUUUUCUCUCUUUUUCUCAAACAAACACAAACUCGCAAGCUCUCCCCCCCCCCCCUCUCUCUCUUUCACACACACUAACACAGUCAUUCUUUCUCUCUCACACACGCACGCACUCUUUCUCCCUCCCUUUGAGUAACACCUCUACUGCGCUUCCCUGGAGCAAUGGCAUGUUUCUGCUCCUCUGCUCUGCUUUAUUGACAAGGGACAGAUUGUUUUUCUUUUUUCCACUUUGUCGUCUGGCCUUUCUGGUUAUGCUCAGGCUUCCCCCUUCAACCAAAACAAACAAAAAAAUUGACUAAUUAAAUAAACAAUAAAACUCUGUAUGACCAGUAUGACUUUCUAAUAGCCCCUUUUGGCACUGUAAAUGCGUUGCACAUGUUUGCAAUGCAACAGGUGUGCUGAGUUGUGCAUUUUUUAAUGCAGCACCAGACACCUAAUUUACACCGCAAGGGGAACGGUCUAGGAGAACGCUCUG